GUGGGGAAUCUUGCGCAAUGGGCGAAAGCCUGACGCAGCCAUGCCGCGUGGAUGAUGAAGGUCUUAGGAUUGUAAAAUCCUUUCACCGGUGAAGAUAAUGACUGUAGCCGGAGAAGAAGCCCCGGCUAACUUCGUGCCAGCAGCCGCGGUAAUACGAAGGGGGCUAGCGUUGCUCGGAUUUACUGGGCGUAAAGGGCGCGUAGGCGGACAUUUAAGUCAGGGGUGAAAUCCCGGGGCUAAACCUCGGAACUGCCUUUGAUACUGGGUGUCUUGAGUAUGAGAGAGGUGUGUGGAACUCCGAGUGUAGAGGUGAAAUUCGUAGAUAUUCGGAAGAACACCAGUGGCGAAGGCGACACACUGGCUCAUUACUGACGCUGAGGCGCGAAAGCGUGGGGAGCAAACAGGAUUAGAAACCCUGGUAGUCC
RNAcentral lists this ribosomal RNA (425 nucleotides) under uncultured bacterium. RNAcentral describes it as "partial 16S ribosomal RNA". It matches the Rfam family "Bacterial small subunit ribosomal RNA", at positions 354 to 796 of the family's 1533-position model. The record is from RNAcentral.